RNAcentral lists this long non-coding RNA (3183 nucleotides) under Cinara cedri. The record is from RNAcentral. Lineage: Eukaryota; Metazoa; Arthropoda; Insecta; Hemiptera; Aphididae.
CAUUUAAUAGCAUAAUUCGUAUAUGAAUAUACAAUAUACUCUUAGCAUUUCAAAUAAUUGAGAUAUUUGAUUAUGUUACGUUAGUGUACGUAUAGGUGUUUAGUGAUAACAAUUUGUUAUAAUUUUCAAACAACCACCCGGCACUUCAAACAAUUGAGUACUGACAUUAAAGCAUUUAAUUAAUGAUUGAUAAUGGUAUUGAUAACUGAUUGAUGGUAACUGUGUUCCAAAUUGUAAUUUUGAACUUAAUACAUUUUCUAACAUGUAUAAUGAUAAUAAAAUCAAUUUUUAUCAUGCAAAAACUCAAUUUUCAGUCGAAUUAUUUGAUAUAUUCAAAUUUCAGAAAUUACAGUAAAAAUCACCAUUAUAGGUAAGUACCAUCGAUUUACAAAAUAAUUUAAGUAGAGAUAUGUGUUAUUGUAAUUUAUAUUAACAAUCCUGUUUCACACAUUGAGUAUGUAACAAAAUUUACUUAUUCAUAUUUUGUGUAAUAUGAAUAAUUAAAAUAUUAUUAUAAUAUUAUAUAAUUGCAAACUUCCAUUAAUAACUACAACAUAUAUUGAAUUACAAAUGUAUAUUUCAUGCAUUUAAUCAUUUUUAUUUUUGAGGAUUACCUACCUACCUACCUAUAAUCUGACAGUAAUGAAAAUGUUUCAGAUUAUUCAAGUAGCUUAUUUUUUAACAUGCCUUGCUGCAGUAAUAGGUCAGAAAAAGACUGGAAAUUAUUUAGACAAAUACAAAAUAUGCGACGUGGAGAUAAAUGGGCAUCAAUAGAAUCAACACGCUUGUGUGAGGUAAAUUUCACCUUUGUUAAAUUUAGGUAAAUGAAUAAUGUACUUCCUGUGCUUAUAUUUCUAUAGAAAUAGCUCUCAGUUUGAAAGCCACCGAAAAGACUUGGAAAAAAUGAAUGUCAAAUAAUUUACCUACCUAAAUUAUUUUAUGUACCAAAUCCACCACUCAUGAUUGAUCUUCUGUCACGAAAAUCAGUGAAUAAGGUAAGAUUAUUCCAUAAAGAGUAAAUCACCAUUACUAAAGCUCUUAACAAAUGCAAUAACUGAAGUUUAACAAUUUAGUAUUUUUGUAAAACAUUUUACCUGUUUGAAAAAAAAUUACUAAUUGUGUAGGUGUAUAAGAAAUUUAUAAUAAAUGAUAUUAUGAAAUAAUAAAAUAUCAGGAAUUAUUGCUAUAUUGCAUUAAUUAUUUGAAAAAAACCUGUGCCUUGUUUAAACAAUUUCAAAUAAAAUUACAUACCUCAGACUUGAUAGUUGUAUUCUAAUUAUACAAUAAGUUUUGUUUCAUACCUACUGUUCAAUUCAAUAUAAAUUAUAGGAAUUCUUAUUUGACUACUUUAAAGCUCAAAUAUUAAAUUUCUUUUUUCAGAAUUCUAACAUAGCUCUACAAAACUUUGACAAUUUAAAAACCAUUCAUGAGUCUACAAUUUGUUCAAGAUGAUGUUUUGAAUGUACUUCAAAUCCCAGAAAAUGAAGUAAUCUUUAAAUUUAAUAAUUUACCUUAUAAAUUAGAUUGUGUAAAUAAUAAUUUUAUUAAAUUAACAUUUAAUGCAAUUGUUUUAUUUACUGAAAAUUAAUUAACUAAAAAGUUCUGAAUAAAGUAAAUAGCAACUAUAAUCACUGUGUAAUAAACUCAGUGUGUUAUAGUUCAGUUUUUGUGUGUUAUACAUGAACUAGAUCUCGCAAAAACUUUUGAAUAAUUAUUAAACACUUGAUAUAAUAAUUUAUUGUUGGUAUUUCAGUAAUAAAAAAAGGUAUUAAACACAUAAAAUACAAUUUGUUAACUUAGUAAACAAAAUUAUAUCACAACUUCAAUGGUGAAUGUGUUAAGAAACAUAUGAUAUUGUAUACAAAUUAUAAUUUAUUAUUUAUAUUUGUUAAUUUGAUUUUGAUAAAACCUAUCACGUUAAAAAUAUACAAAUACAGUAAAUUUUAAAAUUACUUUUUCUUAAUACAUAUUUUAAAUUUAUAAAUAUUAUAAUUAUUAUACAUUGUACAUUACAUAAUAUAUUUUGACAUUAAUGCAAACUAUAAGAAUACAAAAUUUAAUUUAAUACAUUUUUAGUUAAGAUAAAAAUACAAAUUUUGAAUUAAAACCAAAAUGUAAUGAUUACUAUUAUAUAAUAUAUAGGGAGUCGGAUGAACAAUUAAUUAUUAUAAUGCAAAGUGAGUACAUUAUUUAUCAAUUGAUUUACAAUGGUUUCGUUUAUUAAUCGCACAGUAUAUUGAGAUGACUGUUGAUUGAAACUGUUUGAUGCCAACAUUAACUAGACUAUUUUCUCUUUAUCAACACCAUAUUGAUACCAAACUCUAAAAAUUCAAAAUACAGUUAUGUAUAAAAUAAUAUGCAAUACUUACCCACAACCCACUAGUGAUUACACCUAGCAUACAUAAUCAAAUUUUUAAAAGUGUGGUGGUUUUAAUCAAUGGUAAAUUGAAUUGUAUUUUGGAGUACAUAUUUUUUCAGCAUUCAAAAUAUGAACAAUAUUGAUCAGAAUUGCAUGAUGCCUAGAAGUAACCAUUUGAUUUCCUAAAAUAUGAAAAAAAAAUAAAUUUAUCUAUUUGGUUUAAUUGGUUUGAAUACCAAUGAAUCAUUUAGUAUCAUUUAAAAUAAAAAUGUAAAAUUAUUAAUCAAAUACAUAUUGAAAAUUGUAUGUGAGCUGUGUGUAUAAUAUAUUAGGGUAGCUGAAAAUAUUCCCGAAACCGGACGUGAAACUCUGAGUACACUCAUAUUGUAAAUCAAUGUAAUAUGUUAAAACUUGAAACAAAAAUAAUGUAAAUAGCCUUAAUGUUUAUAUUUUGGGGAAUAAUAAGAAAUAAUAUUUGUUUUUCAUAAUAAUUAUUAAUUUAAUUCACAUCAUUACAUUUGAUAUUUUAUGUUACAAAGGCUAACUUUUGUUUGUGAACUGGUAUUAAAUGUUUAAUGCAAAAUAUUGAUUUGUUAUGCUAGUAUGAUGUAUUUAUUAUCUUUUUUUUUUUUUAGGAUUUUUGCUGACAUUUAUUGAUCAAAACGCAGAUAUGUACCCAAACAAAUAAAUUACAUACAGAAAAUUUGAAAAAAAAAAAUUGAGACCCGUAUAGUGUCCAGUACUAUAAAUCUAUCUAUAGAAAUAUAUCUAUAUUAUUGUUAUUUACUCUUGACUUAUCAAAUUAAUAAAGUAAAAUAUAGUUA